This 1420-nucleotide ribosomal RNA is filed under the name uncultured bacterium. RNAcentral's name for it is "bacterial SSU rRNA". It matches the Rfam family "Bacterial small subunit ribosomal RNA". The record is from RNAcentral.
GAGUUUGAUCAUGGCUCAGGACGAACGCUGGCGGCGUGCUUAACACAUGCAAGUCGAACGAAGAGCGAUGGAAGCUUGCUUCUAUCAAUCUUAGUGGCGAACGGGUGAGUAACGCGUAAUCAACCUGCCCUUCAGAGGGGGACAACAGUUGGAAACGACUGCUAAUACCGCAUACGAUCUAAACUCGGCAUCGAGGAUAGAUGAAAGGUGGCCUCUACAUGUAAGCUAUCACUGAAGGAGGGGAUUGCGUCUGAUUAGCUAGUUGGAGGGGUAACGGCCCACCAAGGCGAUGAUCAGUAGCCGGUCUGAGAGGAUGAACGGCCACAUUGGGACUGAGACACGGCCCAGACUCCUACGGGAGGCAGCAGUGGGGAAUCUUCCGCAAUGGACGAAAGUCUGACGGAGCAACGCCGCGUGAGUGAUGACGGCCUUCGGGUUGUAAAGCUCUGUUAAUCGGGACGAAAGGCCUUCUUGCGAAUAGUGAGAAGGAUUGACGGUACCGGAAUAGAAAGCCACGGCUAACUACGUGCCAGCAGCCGCGGUAAUACGUAGGUGGCAAGCGUUGUCCGGAAUUAUUGGGCGUAAAGCGCGCGCAGGCGGAUAGGUCAGUCUGUCUUAAAAGUUCGGGGCUUAACCCCGUGAUGGGAUGGAAACUGCCAAUCUAGAGUAUCGGAGAGGAAAGUGGAAUUCCUAGUGUAGCGGUGAAAUGCGUAGAUAUUAGGAAGAACACCAGUGGCGAAGGCGACUUUCUGGACGAAAACUGACGCUGAGGCGCGAAAGCCAGGGGAGCGAACGGGAUUAGAUACCCCGGUAGUCCUGGCCGUAAACGAUGGGUACUAGGUGUAGGAGGUAUCGACCCCUUCUGUGCCGGAGUUAACGCAAUAAGUACCCCGCCUGGGGAGUACGACCGCAAGGUUGAAACUCAAAGGAAUUGACGGGGGCCCGCACAAGCGGAGGAACAUGUGGUUUAAUUCGAUGAUACGCGAGGAACCUUACCCGGGCUUGAAUUGCAGUCGCUGCCCACAGAGACGUGGGCUUCCCUUCGGGGCGUCUGUGAAGGUGCUGCAUGGUUGUCGUCAGCUCGUGCCGUGAGGUGUCGGCUUAAGUGCCAUAACGAGCGCAACCCCCUUUCCCAGUUGCCAUCGGGUGAUGCCGGGCACUCUGGGGACACUGCCACCGCAAGGUGCGAGGAAGGUGGGGAUGACGUCAAAUCAGCACGGCCCUUACGUCCGGGGCUACACACGUGUUACAAUGGCCGGUACAGAGGGACGGUGCAAUGCAAGUUGCAUCCAAUCUUGAAAUCCGGUCCCAGUUCGGACUGGGGUCUGCAACCCGACCCCACGAAGCUGGAUUCGCUAGUAAUCGCGCAUCAGCCAUGGCGCGGUGAAUACGUUCCCGGGCCUUGUACACACCGCCCGUC